UGGAUCGAUGAUGACUUUUAUACAUGCAUUCCUUGGAAAGCUGAACAAAAUGAGUGAAAACUCUAUACCGUCAUCUUCGUUGAACUGAGGUCCA
This 94-nucleotide small nucleolar RNA is filed under the name Homo sapiens (human). RNAcentral describes it as "small nucleolar RNA, C/D box 116-24 (SNORD116-24)". It matches the Rfam family "Small nucleolar RNA SNORD116". Rfam says of the family: HBII-85 is a member of the C/D class of snoRNAs, which contain the C (UGAUGA) and D (CUGA) box motifs. HBII-85 is encoded in a tandemly repeated array with another C/D snoRNA, HBII-52, in the Prader-Willi syndrome (PWS) region of chromosome 15. Unlike most other snoRNAs, HBII-85 is expressed prevalently in the brain (but is absent in PWS patients) and lacks any significant complementarity with ribosomal RNA. The record is from RNAcentral. Lineage: Eukaryota; Metazoa; Chordata; Mammalia; Primates; Hominidae.